UAUCAAGGAACUGAUUGAGGAUCCAAUGCUUUCUUUUGCACAGAAGUGGAGUAGGAAGUCGAAGAGAACCAGCUACUCACAAGAGCAAAUUGAUGAGGUGCGGAUUGAAUGGAGUGAGUUUGUUACAAGGAAAUACUUGUAGAUGUUUAUGAUGAAGCGUGAUAUUUGUAGUGCUGCUUUUUAUGGAACAAGUAGUCUUUGUUGAUCGUAUGUUAAGUUGGACAGAAUUAUUUAAGUUUCAUUGUUUAAUAUGUAGUAGUACUUAAGUAGUUUACUUAUUGUAGAAUAUGAUAUUUUAACUUUUGGUUUAUGAAAGAUAUAUUGCUUAAUAAUUUUUUGGUAUUUUGA
Rosa rugosa (rugosa rose) is the source of this 348-nucleotide long non-coding RNA. RefSeq lists it as uncharacterized. The record is from RefSeq and is a predicted model, not a curated record. NCBI's taxonomy places the organism in Eukaryota, Viridiplantae, Streptophyta, Magnoliopsida, Rosales, Rosaceae. The transcript has 2 exons.